This 782-nucleotide long non-coding RNA is filed under the name Ananas comosus (pineapple). Its description in RNAcentral is "long non-coding RNA (ACOM_LNC041499)". Lineage: Eukaryota; Viridiplantae; Streptophyta; Magnoliopsida; Poales; Bromeliaceae. The record is from RNAcentral.
ACUAUAAGGACGUUUAGGGCCGGCCCGUUUGGCCUAGUUUUUGAAAAAGUAAUUUCUAAAAAAGUAAUUUUGGUUUGGAGAAAUAAUUUUGAUUAAAAGCCGUAAAGCGUUUGGCUGAGUUUAGAUAAAAAUAAUUUUUCUAAAGUGAUUUUGAAAAACUGUUUAGUAAAAAUGUUUUCAUGUUUGCAUGAAUUAAUAUUUUUAUUAAAUUUUAUUUUAAAAUAAUUUAAAAUCUAAAUUUAAAUUUGAAUUAAAAUUAAAAUUUUUAAAUUUCAAAAUUAUACAAAAUUUAAAAUUUAAAAUUUUAAAAUUUAAAAUGUCAAAUUUGAAAUUUGAUUUCCAAAAUUUAAAAUUUUAAAAUUUAAAAUUUGAGAUUUGAAAUUUAAAAUUAAAAUUUAAAAUUUAAAGUUUGAAAUCUAUUUUUCAAAUAUUAAAUUUUAAAAGUUAAAAUUUAAAAAUUCAAAAAUAAAUCUUAAAAUCAAAAUUUUAAAUUAAAUUUAAAUUUAAAUUAAAUUUAAAUUUAAACAUUAAAUUUAAAAUAAAAAUAAAAAUUUGAAGUUUGAGUUCAAAAUCAGAAUCAGAUUUUAGGAAGCAGCUUUUUUUUGUUUCUGAUUCUGGGGCCUUCAAAAUUAGUUUUCUAAUUCUGAGAAGAAGAAUUAGAUUUUAAAAAUGGGAUUGUCAAACGCUCUAUUGGGCCGAAAAUCACUUUUCAACCCAAAAGCGCUUUUUAAAAGAUAGGCCAAACACUCCCUUAAUCUAUAAUAUUAAAAAAUAAGUUGUAU